ACACCCAAGCAUGCUCCAGACAGCAGGCUGCUAUCGAUUCAUGAGGACACUGGAGGAUAAGAAGAAGGUAGUAGCAGAUUACAUUCAGUGGUACUUCAUCUACUGAAACCAUCUUUCCAUCCAAAGUUUCAGAGAGGGUCUAGCAACACUGGAUUUUCUAAACGCCCUGGAACAGCAUCCCUCACUCUUCUUCUCAUUCAUGUGCUACACUGAGACCAGGCUGACAGCUGAUCUUCUGGAGAACAUCUUCCAUGUGCAAUUUGGUCCACCUGGCAGCUCUAGGCGUCAAGAGUACUGAGCUACUGGCAAGACUAUCUGCUUUCUGUAGAAGAGAAAAAUGGAAGUCUGUCUCUUGAAGACAUCCCUAUGUUUGCAACUGGACUGAGGGAAAUUCCUCCUGCAGCAAUUCAGCCAAAGUCACAGCUUCUUUUCCAGACCACUUCACGCUUUCCUGUAACAGAUGUCUGUGCAAAUACUAUCAAAAUCACAGUGUUACAGUUAUGAGGACUUCCAAGAAGCCAUGGAUUAUGGCAUCCAGAACUCUCCUGGGUUUGGGCUUCCCUAAGGUCCAAGUCCUUUUGCUUUUAAGCCACAUUUAUGGUUUCU
Molecule: long non-coding RNA, 606 nt
Organism: Haplochromis burtoni (Burton's mouthbrooder)
Lineage: Eukaryota; Metazoa; Chordata; Actinopteri; Cichliformes; Cichlidae
Exons: 3
Source: RefSeq, a predicted model, not a curated record